RNAcentral lists this ribosomal RNA (253 nucleotides) under uncultured bacterium. Its description in RNAcentral is "partial 16S ribosomal RNA". It matches the Rfam family "Bacterial small subunit ribosomal RNA", at positions 524 to 776 of the family's 1533-position model. The record is from RNAcentral.
UACAGAGGUGCCAAGCGUUGUUCGGAUUUAUUGGGCGUAAAGGGUGCGUAGGCGGUCAAGCAAGUCGGGUGUGAAAUUCCGGAGCCUAACUCCGGAACUGCAUUCGAAACUGCUUGGCUCGAGGUCUGGAGAGGUAAUUGGAAUUCUCGGUGUAGCAGUGAAAUGCGUAGAUAUCGAGAGGAACACCAGAGGCGAAAGCGAAUUACUGGACAGAACCUGACGCUGAGGCACAAAAGCUAGGGGAGCAAACGGG